UAGCGUAUAUUAAAGUUGUUGCAGUUAAAAAGCUCGUAGUUGAACCUUGGGUCUGGCUGGCCGGUCCGCCUCACCGCGAGUACUGGUCCGGCUGGACCUUUCCUUCUGGGGAAUCCCAUGGCCUUCACUGGCUGUGGGUGGAACCAGGACUUUUACUGUGAAAAAAUUAGAGUGUUCAAAGCAGGCCUUUGCUCGAAUACAUUAGCAUGGAAUAAUAGAAUAGGACGUGCGGUUCUAUUUUGUUGGUUUCUAGGACCGCCGUAAUGAUUAAUAGGGAUAGUCGGGGGCGUCAGUAUUCAGCUGUC
This 305-nucleotide ribosomal RNA is filed under the name uncultured Aspergillus. Its description in RNAcentral is "SSU rRNA". It matches the Rfam family "Eukaryotic small subunit ribosomal RNA", at positions 595 to 906 of the family's 1831-position model. The record is from RNAcentral. Lineage: Eukaryota; Fungi; Ascomycota; Eurotiomycetes; Eurotiales; Aspergillaceae.